UUGUUUGGGAUGAAAACCUUACUCAGCUCACUCAGAGUUUUUUGACGAUGCUGAUAACAUUCCUAUUUCCAACAUUCAUCAAUUACUGAUACUAGCAA
This 98-nucleotide small nucleolar RNA is filed under the name Candida tropicalis MYA-3404. Lineage: Eukaryota; Fungi; Ascomycota; Pichiomycetes; Serinales; Debaryomycetaceae. The record is from RNAcentral.